Molecule: ribosomal RNA, 468 nt
Filed under: uncultured bacterium
Lineage: Bacteria
Description: partial 16S ribosomal RNA
Rfam family: Bacterial small subunit ribosomal RNA
Source: RNAcentral
GACGAACGCUGGCGGCGUGCUUAACACAUGCAAGUCGAACGGAAAGGCCCUGCUUUUGUGGGGUGCUCGAGUGGCGAACGGGUGAGUAACACGUGAGUAACCUGCCCUUGACUUUGGGAUAACUUCAGGAAACUGGGGCUAAUACCGGAUAGGAGCUCCUGCUGCAUGGUGGGGGUUGGAAAGUUUCGGCGGUUGGGGAUGGACUCGCGGCUUAUCAGCUUGUUGGUGGGGUAGUUGCUUACCAAGGCUUUGACGGGUAGCCGGCCUGAGAGGGUGACCGGCCACAUUGGGACUGAGAUACGGCCCAGACGCCUACGGGAGGCAGCAGUGGGGAAUAUUGCACAAUGGGCGGAAGCCUGAUGCAGCAACGCCGCGUGCGGGAUGACGGCCUUCGGGUUGUAAACCGCUUUCGCCUGUGACGAAGCGUGAGUGACGGUAAUGGGUAAAGAAGCACCGGCUAACUACGUG